Molecule: vault RNA, 89 nt
Filed under: Ornithorhynchus anatinus (platypus)
Lineage: Eukaryota; Metazoa; Chordata; Mammalia; Monotremata; Ornithorhynchidae
Description: Vault RNA (ENSOANG00000050691.1)
Rfam family: Vault RNA
About the family: This family of RNAs are found as part of the enigmatic vault ribonucleoprotein complex. The complex consists of a major vault protein (MVP), two minor vault proteins (VPARP and TEP1), and several small untranslated RNA molecules.
Source: Rfam by way of RNAcentral
UGGUCUACUUUAGCUCAGCGGUUACUUCUCACCCUUACACCCCAUCUUUUUGGAGGUUCGAACCCCUCGAGGGGCUUUUCGAUCUUUCG